UGGCUGCACUUCACAAGGCUUAGUGCCAUGUAGGGUGCCACUUUCAUGUGAGAUGAUGUGCUCUAUAGAGUAAGAUAUUGUGAUGAAGUAUCUUAAUGAGUGCCCUUCUAGUAGAGAAAAUGUGAUGUAGUGUCUUAAUGAGUGCCUUUCUAGUACAGAAAAUGUGAUGUGGUAUCUUAAUGAGUUCCUAUCUAGUAGAGAAAAUGUGAUGUGGUGUCUUAAUGAGUGCCUAUCUAGUGAACCAAAUGCAAUGUGAUGCCCAAUAAGGUGCCCUUUCAAAGGUCUAAACAGCCCCUAUGGGUGCCCCUCCAAUGGAAAAGGGGGACAUUAUGAAGUGCCCUUCUAUUGGAGGAAAAUGAUUCCCUCUGGGGUGCCCUUCCAAGUAAGAAAACAUGAUGAAUUGCCCUUGUAAUGGGGGGAAGGUUACCUCUGAAGGGUGCCCUGCCAGUGAAGGAAAUGAGAUACGGUGCCCCACUAUUAAAAACUGUUUCUCUUCUCUUUCUUACUUAAUGAAGCAAAUAAGACUGAAAUAACUUUUCAUUGCGUUUUGUGGGUUCUAGUUGGUGCAUGGUCUGUAGAUUAUGCAGAGAAAACCCUGUGUGCAGUGAGAGGAUCGACUGUGGUCAUUCGCUGUCGAUUUAAUCAUCCAGAGUCAUACAGAGUGGAGUCGAUGAUGUGGAGCCAUAAUACUGAGGACUGUGCUGGAAAAUUAUAUGUCUGGCACAGUAAGAGUUAUAAAAUGAACAUUGGUGCUGAGUACAGAGACAGGGCAGAGGUCUUGGGGAACACAGAGAACAACUGUACAUUAAUGAUAAAGAACAUUACAGACACUGAUGCUGGACUGUAUAGAUUCAGUUUCACAGCUAAUAGGUGUGAACUGUGUGCUCAGCCUGCAGUAGAACUGCGAGUCGGUGCUGAAAGUAACCUAAUGACAGUGAUACUAGUGUGUCUGGGGAUACUACUGGCUGUUUUAGCUGUAACAAUCUGCAUAAUGAGGAGGAAGACUGGUUUACUGAGUGAGGAAGGUCACAGGAGAGAAGGAGCUCAG
Paramormyrops kingsleyae is the source of this 1048-nucleotide non-coding RNA. Lineage: Eukaryota; Metazoa; Chordata; Actinopteri; Osteoglossiformes; Mormyridae. The record is from RefSeq and is a predicted model, not a curated record.